CAAAAUGCAUUGCUAACACAACUGCACAUGUUUGUUUAUUGGAAAGAACAUCACAAAGGGUGACAAUCCCAUGUGUCAUGUGUAUGUUUUGUGUACAGUGUGCAUUAUAUGAAUCACAUUCAUUGACAAUUGAAUGCAAAUAGAAUGGUAAAUUUCAUUUAAUCAUAAAUAUGUUGUUGACAACUUAUAGCAAACAAAUACCAUGAGGGAAAUGUGAAAAGGAUUUUGAAAAGAAAAUUAAAAGAGCUUGCAAUUGCUGAACUGAUAAGCAAACAAAACAUACGUGUGUAUGCAAGAUUGUUGUAAUGCUUAGCAUCUUUUGCAAGGCUAUUGCAAUGAUUUUUUGUAUAGUGAUGCUACCUUUGUUUAGAAUUUGGAAUGUCUUUUUUUGAGUGCGAAUGGAAUUUUGUUUGUUAGCAAAGGAAUGCACUUUUAGAUUCAUUGUUUGAUUUGAUUUAAAAAUGUUUGUGACACAUGUCUUUGUGUUAGUUUCUUGAUU
Molecule: ribosomal RNA, 499 nt
Filed under: Coolia malayensis
Lineage: Eukaryota; Dinophyceae; Peridiniales; Ostreopsidaceae
Description: partial large subunit ribosomal RNA
Rfam family: Eukaryotic large subunit ribosomal RNA
Source: RNAcentral